CCUUCGAUAGCUCAGUUGGUAGAGCGGAGGACUGUAGCGGGCACUUGUUGACAUCCUUAGGUCGCUGGUUCGAAUCCGGCUCGAAGGA
Molecule: non-coding RNA, 88 nt
Organism: Branchiostoma floridae (Florida lancelet)
Lineage: Eukaryota; Metazoa; Chordata; Leptocardii; Amphioxiformes; Branchiostomatidae
Source: Rfam